UGCAGCCGGGGAGUUAGCGGUGCCCUAUACCUGCAAUCCGCUAUAGCAGGGGUGUUGCCAAUCGGAGGCAUUUAUUUUGUAAGGCUGCCCUUUAAAAGUGGCGAUGAUGAUUGGGUCUUACGCAACAGGAAUCUAUGAACCGUGUCAGGUCUGGAAGGAAGCAGCACUAAGUAGAACCUCCUGUGUGCCGUAAGGUUGCCUGAUUUGAGCUAACUAUAAAGGUAACGCUUAUGAAUAUUUGUCGAUGUGCGGUGCACGG
This 259-nucleotide signal recognition particle RNA is filed under the name Vallitalea guaymasensis. RNAcentral's name for it is "Bacterial large signal recognition particle RNA". It matches the Rfam family "Bacterial large signal recognition particle RNA". Rfam says of the family: The signal recognition particle (SRP) is a universally conserved ribonucleoprotein involved in the co-translational targeting of proteins to membranes. Lineage: Bacteria; Bacillati; Bacillota; Clostridia; Lachnospirales; Vallitaleaceae. The record is from RNAcentral.